RNAcentral lists this ribosomal RNA (253 nucleotides) under uncultured bacterium. RNAcentral describes it as "partial 16S ribosomal RNA". It matches the Rfam family "Bacterial small subunit ribosomal RNA", at positions 524 to 776 of the family's 1533-position model. The record is from RNAcentral.
UACGUAGGGUACAAGCAUUAAUCGGAAUUAUUGGGCGUAAAGGGCGCGUAGGCGGAAAGAUAAGUCAGGUGUGAAAUCCCGGGGCUCAACCCCGGAACAGCAUUUGAAACUAUCAUUCUAGAGGGUAGGCGGAGAAAACGGAAUUCCACAAGUAGCGGUGAAAUGCGUAGAUAUGUGGAAGAACACCGGUGGCGAAGGCGGUUUUCUAGCUUACUCCUGACGCUGAGGCGCGAAAGCAAGGGGAUCAAACAGG